This 253-nucleotide ribosomal RNA is filed under the name uncultured bacterium. RNAcentral's name for it is "partial 16S ribosomal RNA". It matches the Rfam family "Bacterial small subunit ribosomal RNA", at positions 524 to 776 of the family's 1533-position model. The record is from RNAcentral.
GACAGAGGUGCCGAGCGUUAGGCGGAAUCACUGGGCUUAAAGCGUGUGUAGGCGGAUCCGUAAGUACCUUGUGAAAUCCCACGGCUCAACCGUGGAACUGCUGGGUAUACUGGUUGUCUUGAGCCAGCUAGGGGCGAGCGGAACAGACGGUGGAGCGGUGAAAUGCGUAGAUAUCGUCUGGAACGCCGAAGGUGAAAACAGCUCGCUGGGGCUGCGCUGACGCUGAGACACGAAAGCCAGGGGAGCGAACGGG